ACCUGGCUGGCUCAAUCGGUGGGGCAUUAGACUCUUGAUCUUGGGAUGGUGAGUUCGAGCCCCACAUUAGGUG
This 73-nucleotide transfer RNA is filed under the name Felis catus (domestic cat). It matches the Rfam family "tRNA". Rfam says of the family: Transfer RNA (tRNA) molecules are approximately 80 nucleotides in length. Their secondary structure includes four short double-helical elements and three loops (D, anti-codon, and T loops). The record is from Rfam by way of RNAcentral. Lineage: Eukaryota; Metazoa; Chordata; Mammalia; Carnivora; Felidae.